RNAcentral lists this long non-coding RNA (2446 nucleotides) under Schizosaccharomyces pombe (fission yeast). Lineage: Eukaryota; Fungi; Ascomycota; Schizosaccharomycetes; Schizosaccharomycetales; Schizosaccharomycetaceae. The record is from RNAcentral.
UAAAAAACUCAAAGGAUAAGCAAAAAUUUUUGCAAAACAAAUUCUAAGUAAACAACAUAGUUCGCCCACUGUUCAAACAUUAAAAGCUACCCAUUUCUUCGAUAUGGAUAAACUUUGCUUAAGGUGUGCAACGUUCAGUAAAUCGUGGGAAUAAGCAGCACUCACGAACAGUGUAACGGUCGCACAACCAAGCGAGGAAUCUUUCAAGUCCUAAGCCACAGCCACCAUGUUCAGUAGUACCAUAUUUACGUUGUUCCGUAAACCAGUAGUAGGGAGCUGGAUCAAUACCUUCGCGUUUAUAAGCAGCAAGGAGCUCUUGAAUGUCGGAAAUUCUCAUACUGCCACCAACAAUUUCUCCCACAUUAGGCAUUAAGCAAUCAACACUCUCGGUAAGUUCAGGACGAUCAACGACACGCUUCAUAUAAAAUGAUUUGAUCUCCAAUGGGAAGUAUGUCAAAAAGAUGGGGCGGUUGAUUUGAUCGGUCAUCUUGCGCUCAGCAGCUUCAGCAAUGUCAUCGCCAAACUUGUGUUGCUCACCUUCUGGAGUCAAAAUAUUGUGCUCAUUAAGAUACUUAAUCGCAUCCUCGUAAGAAAGACGCAUAAAAGGUCUUGAAGGCUUGACAAAAUCAGGAUUCAACUGCUUAAUUAAAGGAGUAGCAAUUGGAUCAUCAAGGAGUCGGUCGAUAGUUUGGCAAAUGAAUUCUUCAAUGAUUUCCAAAAACUCGCCAAAGUUCACGAAUGGCAAUUCAAACUCCACGUGGGUAAACUCAGACAAAUGGCGUCUGGUUAAAGAUUUUUCUGCACGGAAACUCUCCUGAAUAGUAUAAACACUUCCCAAAGCGGGAAGUGCAGCCUCUAAAUACAAUUGACUAGAUUGAGUCAGAUAGGCAUCUUGUCCAUAAUAAUUAAAUUUAAAAAGAGUUGCACCUCCUUCAACUUGAGUUUGCACCAUACAUGGUGGUGUAACCUCGGUCAUUUUAAGAUUUUCAAAUGUAUCUCUCAUGGCACGAAGAGCACGAGCACGAACUUUGAGUACCGAAGAAGCAGUUUCACCGCGAAUAACAAGGUGACGCUGAUCUAACAAGUAGGAAGGCUCCGCUUCUGCAUUGAGACGGUUUGUAAAAGCCUCUUCUCCGGUAGGAGCAGCAUGCAAGAUUUGAUAAUAAUCAACAACAAGCUCGUGGUUUCCAGGAGCUGAUUUUCCUUCGGGCAAUUCCUUAAUUACACCAUAUAAACAUACGGUAGACUCGGGACCCAAAUUAAUAAAGUCAUAACUAGCUCUAUCGUAGACUUUUCCCGAUAAAACACACUGCAAAAAUCCAGUACCAUCACGUAAAAUUAUAAAAAUAAUCCCUUUUUGUGUACGCAUACGAUGGACCCAACCGUUUACACGGACACGAGAAUCACGAAAAUUGGUACUAUCGAUAAUGGCAAUCUUCUUAGCAGCAGGAGCGUCUUUUGGUUCUUUAAGGACAAUAUUUUUAGCUGCUUCUAAUCGUUUGGCUUCAGCUUCUUUGGCAGCAGCAGCUCGAGCAGCAGCCGCGGCUUCAGCUUCAGCUGCCUUAGCCUUUUUCUUAGCGGCUUGUUCAACUCCCUUUUUCGCCUUCUUUAAAGCGUUGGUGGUUAUAGGCUCAAACUCUUCACUGCCAUUUUUUUUGACAAAGAUCGUACAGUUGGCAUCAGUUUCCAAAGCAUGGAUUGCAGUUUUAAAUGGUGAUGUUUGACUUCCGUUGCCAGUUUCAUCAUUACCGGAAGCUUCGUCUAUAUAAAAAACAACGUCUGAUUUUAUUUUCAUAUCAGAAACUUUUGAUUCCAAUCCCGCCAUUUUUAAAAGGACAGUUUGAAGUUAGUGAAAAUGUUAAAUAUCAAAUAACCGGCCUUGGAUAACUUAUAGUCUCGUUAGAGUGUCUUAUCUGCAAAUCUACAACCCAGAACAUUUGCUAAAGCGCGUUAAUUUUUUUUUUGGCUAAUGAUUCCAAAAUUUCGGCUAGUUGCUAAUAUUUGAAAUAUUAAGUACUUUUAUUUAAUUGUAAAUUUACAUUUCAUUGUAUCACAUUAGUAUGGUUAUUGCUAAUUCCCCAGUCGAUUUGACAUAGAGCAAUUAAUUGUCAACCCAGUGUGUAUUCAAUAGACUCCUCAAAUAAGUUAACUACGAAAACUUCUUGUCAAUAAGAUAUUGCUUCAUUCCAUAUUGACUUAUGGCUUCUCACGUUCUUAAAUUAGUAAAUCCAAUGGGUAGAAAAAAAGUAAAUUAGCUAAGGUUGUAAUAUUGUCAAAAGAAAAAUUUACUUUGUGAAAUAUCUUUUUAAAUUACAAGUGGAUAUUUUACAUGUAGGGCAAGGUUAAAGAACACACUUCUCCAUAAGUUAAUUGCUAGCAUAGUCUGUAGGAAUAACCAAAAUCGUCUUUUUCUGUUUUUGUUCUCGCUAUACAGCCAAGCAUGUGC